Molecule: ribosomal RNA, 508 nt
Filed under: Stutzerimonas stutzeri
Lineage: Bacteria; Pseudomonadati; Pseudomonadota; Gammaproteobacteria; Pseudomonadales; Pseudomonadaceae
Description: partial 23S ribosomal RNA
Rfam family: Bacterial large subunit ribosomal RNA
Source: RNAcentral
GUGGUUCUGUAUGGAAGGGCCAUCGCUCAACGGAUAAAAGGUACUCCGGGGAUAACAGGCUGAUACCGCCCAAGAGUUCAUAUCGACGGCGGUGUUUGGCACCUCGAUGUCGGCUCAUCACAUCCUGGGGCUGAAGCCGGUCCCAAGGGUAUGGCUGUUCGCCAUUUAAAGUGGUACGCGAGCUGGGUUUAGAACGUCGUGAGACAGUUCGGUCCCUAUCUGCCGUGGACGUUUGAGAUUUGAGAGGGGCUGCUCCUAGUACGAGAGGACCGGAGUGGACGAACCUCUGGUGUUCCGGUUGUCACGCCAGUGGCAUUGCCGGGUAGCUAUGUUCGGAAGAGAUAACCGCUGAAAGCAUCUAAGCGGGAAACUUGCCUCAAGAUGAGAUCUCACUGGAGCCUUGAGUUCCCUGAAGGGCCGUCGAAGACUACGACGUUGAUAGGUUGGGUGUGUAAGCGCUGUGAGGCGUUGAGCUAACCAAUACUAAUUGCCCGUGAGGCUUGACCAU